UUCGCAUUCGUAUCGUCGGUCUCACCCUCGCCCACGCGCGCGGCCCGCCCCCUCCACCUCGUCCCGCCGCCGCCGCCCCGCACCGCCGCUGCCCUCCAUGCGGCUCGCCGCGGUGAAGCGGAGGUCGGCCUUCACCGGCGGGGAGAGCUCGGCCGCAACUCCCGGCGGCGCGGCGGGCGGAGCUCGGCCGCGACUGACUCCUCCCCGGCCGAGCUCGGCCGCGACUCCCGUGCAGCAGACUCCCGACGGUGCAGCAGGCGGAGGACCCCGGCGGCGGCGGUGGCGGCCAACUGUCCUCCUCCUCUCCCUCGCGGCCGUGCGGCGAGCGGUCGGCGGCCGGGCCCGCGCCACGCUGCCAUGUAGCGGACGUCGUGGCGACGCGCGUGGCGCUGGAGUGGGCGCCAGUCACGCUACUGCUCGCCAACGGUGCCGCCUUGUGCCUCGCCGCAGCCGCCGUGCGCCUCCGCCUCGGCCCGCCCUGCCUCCUAAACACCCGCGUCCACCGCCUGCCCUUAUCCGCCUCCGCUCCGGCCGUCAAGGGGCGCAGCGCCCUGCGCCUACUCCUCUGCGACGGCGGUGGUGCUGCUGCUUCCCGAUCCAAAUAGGAUCGAACUCGCCCAGCUCAAAUCGAGUCCCUUGCCCUCUGAUUGAACUCUCCAAUUUAUCUUUUCUACUUCCCCUGCACUAGGAGCUCUUCCUGUACUUUUCCCCUUACUUCUUUUUUUUUAGAUCUGUUACUAACAGCUUUGUUUUGCACAGAUUCUACGCAUCCGGUAGCUGCGUGUUCGGGGUCCAUCCUCUUCAGUUAGCAUCAGCAGCAAAACAAGAUGCCAAGGAGAAUUGAUCCUUCCAGGAAUAUUGGUUUAGAACCUUCAAAUAACAGCACGCAUGAUACUAACACUAUGAGCUUUACCAAGUUACAGCACAACGUCGAGGUCACCUAUCAGCUACUGGCAUUAUUUCCACAUAGAAUAAAAACCAUUCAAGAUGCGAGAAUGGAAGUACAACACAACUGCCAGGCUGCUAAGAAGAUUGCUGAUGCAAAGCUUGCUACGGAUUUCCAAACAAUCCUCAAAGAAUUCCAGAAAGCUCAACGGUUAGCAGUAGAGAGAGAAGCUGCAUAUGCACCUUUUUUUUUCUCAAGCAGGUCUGCCAUAGAGGUAAUUUGAGGCAUAUAUUUUUCUGCUUUGUUGCUAUAGUGCAAGGGUUUUUUGUCCUUAUUCAAGAUGAAUUGAAUGCCAUGUAGUUGAUUCAUUAUCCAUUUCUAGCCUUCCUGGUAGUCCUGAAAAGUAGAAUGCCUACAAACUAUAUCAGCAUCUGUUAGAAUAACAAAAGUCCAAUGAACGAAAUGAUCACGAUUUUUGCCGGCCAGUUGUUAAGUGCAGUAAGAUUCCCAUUAACAUCGCAAAGAUGCAUAUAGGAAAUCGAGUUAAUUAUAAUAAACAGUUUGUGGUGGCUUUUAGGACUUAGUGUUCUCAACCAACUGUCCUCAGUUUUAUCAAUCCUGGCAUAUCUUCACACUUCCACAGCAUAUUUAAGGGGUAUUGUAAAUUCUGGUGCAAAGUUAUCCAACAAUUGAAAGCUAAUCCAACCUGCCAUAGAAAAGUUAUUUUGAUCCAAACACUCUUGAAAAAUUAUUUUGAAGCAGAAGGGCAUCUUUCUUUUGCUCCUGGCUUCUAGCAUUGCUUCUGUACAAGGAAGUCUCAUGUUUUCAGUUCGAGGCUUCAGAGUUAAUGGGAAUGACUCUUUGAAGGUAGGCUCUACUAAUUUAGCUUCUCUUCUAUAAAGAUUCUUAUAGCUAAUUGUACCUUUCUGUUUUAAUUAACCCACACCAUCUUAUAUUCAACUGCCAUGUGAACGCAUACAGCAUCGCAACCUGACAGGCCAUCUGACCAAGCAGAGCAUCUGAACCUCAUUGUUUGCCACCUCUUCUUUUGACUUCUUUGCUUCUCACCCUGCUAGCUUCCUGUCUGCUCUGACUUCUUUCCUCCUUUAUCAGAACAGAUCUGUGUGAACACCAGGAAAAGAUGCAAGACGCUGUGAAGUCUUGUCAGCAGAAGUACACAUUGCAUCAGCUUUAUACCUCAGCCCACCAUGGAAUCACCAACUUUAGGUUAACUACUUCCAUAUGUUACGCCGCCUGUACUGAUUUGAUGUUCUCCUUCGGCUUACAAGGAAGUAGGAGACAUCUACUUUGAUGACCAGUGUUUCAGAGCCAAAGGGCAGCAGAACAGACUCUUUUAAGGUAAGUUCAGGCUCUACUAAUUUAACUGCUCUUCGAGAAACAUUUGCUGCGGCUUUUAAAUAUCUCAUGACACCUCUGCAGCAGUGCCAUCAAAUGUUCUGAAAAAUGUGUGUGUGGGUGUUACUUAGUUUCCUAGAUUUGCUACUGAAUUCUAAUAUAGUUCACAAGGAACCAUGUAUUAUGGAGUAACAAACGUUGCGAGUCACUUUGGAGGUGGCUCUAUAGAUGUUCACCGCCAUAUCACAGCGGCCGUCCGACAGGCAUGAAGCUAAUUAUCAAGCCAUCUCCACCAAAGUUUAGCCUGUUGAACCGAGCAUUUAUAAUAUUUGUGCUAUGUAGUAGUACUUGCUGUUUUAGCUGUCCUCAUGUCAGAUGUUUUCUUACUUUAGUUGAACAACUGUAUGCUUAAAUUCCUAAUGCAAUUUAUCUGCGUGUUAAAUGUUCCUA
This is an RNA transcript of Panicum virgatum (switchgrass), 2692 nucleotides long. It is a transcript of the gene named syntaxin-21-like, with no coding region annotated. NCBI's taxonomy places the organism in Eukaryota, Viridiplantae, Streptophyta, Magnoliopsida, Poales, Poaceae. The transcript has 7 exons. The record is from RefSeq and is a predicted model, not a curated record.